Molecule: ribosomal RNA, 400 nt
Filed under: uncultured bacterium
Lineage: Bacteria
Description: bacterial SSU rRNA
Rfam family: Bacterial small subunit ribosomal RNA
Source: RNAcentral
AUUAAACGCUGGCGGCAUGCCUUACACAUGCAAGUCGAACGGCAGCACGGGGGCAACCCUGGUGGCGAGUGGCGGACGGGUGAGUAAAGCAUCGGAACGUAUCCUGGAGUGGGGGGAUAACGUAGCGAAAGUUACGCUAAUACCGCAUAUUCUGUGAGCAGGAAAGCAGGGGAUCGCAAGACCUUGCGCUCUGGGAGCGGCCGAUGUCGGAUUAGCUAGUUGGUGGGGUAAAGGCCUACCAAGGCGACGAUCCGUAGCGGGUCUGAGAGGAUGAUCCGCCACACUGGGACUGAGACACGGCCCAGACUCCUACGGGAGGCAGCAGUGGGGAAUUUUGGACAAUGGGCGCAAGCCUGAUCCAGCCAUGCCGCGUGAGUGAAGAAGGCCUUCGGGUUGUAAA